Bos taurus (domestic cattle) is the source of this 1183-nucleotide long non-coding RNA. NCBI's taxonomy places the organism in Eukaryota, Metazoa, Chordata, Mammalia, Artiodactyla, Bovidae. The record is from Ensembl.
ACCAACCAAUCAGGAGUGUGCACAAGCUGCUCACACACGCUGAGACCCUCGCCCUUCGUCCUGCCUGGAAAACCCCUUCCCUGAGAGCCUUUGUGGAUUUGGGGUCUUUGAGCCUGAGCUUCCUCGUUGGGCCCCAUCCUGGACACCUUGCAAUAAACGCUGCGCUUUGCUUCACCACAGCCCGCUGUUGGUAGGCUGACUUUACUGCCUGCAGCCGAGCUGACCCAAGUUUGGCUCGGUAACAGCGCACAGCACAGAGCAAAGUGGGAGGGGUGGAGGGUGAGGGGGCAGACAGGAAGUCUCCACACGGCGUCCAGAGUCCCACUUCAGCUGUGGCCUCUCCUCUGAGCUUCUGUCACGAUAUCUGACACGACCUCUCCACUUGUGUGAAAUACAGAAUCCCGUGGCCAGCAAUCCCGUCUCAGUAAGGAGCAUCGGUCAACAGUUCUCUUUCACAUCUCACAAUGGACACAGCAGCCCUUCAGUCAGCUCUGCAGGGGACCACUGUGCGUCACACCCCUCUCCGGGCUUCCGUGAGAAUCUCCGGGCUGGCCUCCCCUUUCUCUCUGUGACAGGCCUCCCCGCAACUCCCAGCGGAGUGAGCCCUGGCAUUCUUUGGAGCUACGUCUCCCCACCUCCGUGGACGGUGGGGGUCCCAGUUCUCACUGCGGUGGCCAAUAGGCACAUGAAGAGAUGCUCAGCAUUGCUAAUUAUUAGAAAAAUGAAAACCAGAACAAGUGAGGUGCCACCUCACACCAGUCAGAAAACCCACAAAUAACAAGUGCUGGAGAGGGUAGAGAAAAAAGGGAGCCCUCCUGCACUGUUGGUGGGAAUGUAAACUGGUGCAGCCACUGUGGAAAACAGCAUGGAGCGUCCUCAAAAUACUGAAAAUAGACUUGCACACGAUCCAGCAAUCCCACUCCUGGAUAUGUAUCCCCAAACCUCGAACUUGAAAAGAUACACGCGCCCCUACGUUCACAGCAACACUGUUUCCAACAGGCAAGACAUGGAAGCAACCUAAUGUCCAUGGACACGUGAGUGGAUAAAGAAGGUGUGGAAAAGAUGACCACGUGUCCUACUCUGCCAUCUUGAAACAGAAAAUAUAACGGAAUACUACUCAGCCAUACAAAUGACAUAGUGCCAUUUGCAGCAACAGGGAUGGACCCAGAAGUCGUCAUACUAA